CCUACGGGAGGCAGCAGUAGGGAAUCUUCCGCAAUGGACGAAAGUCUGACGGAGCAACGCCGCGUGAGCGAUGAAGGCCUUCGGGUCGUAAAGCUCUGUUGUCAGAGAAGAACAAGUACCGGAGUAACUGCCGGUACCUUGACGGUACCUGACCAGAAAGCCACGGCUAACUACGUGCCAGCAGCCGCGGUAAUACGUAGGUGGCAAGCGUUGUCCGGAAUUAUUGGGCGUAAAGCGCGCGCAGGCGGUCCUUUAAGUCUGAUGUGAAAGCCCACGGCUCAACCGUGGAGGGUCAUUGGAAACUGGGGGACUUGAGUGCAGAAGAGGAGAGUGGAAUUCCACGUGUAGCGGUGAAAUGCGUAGAGAUGUGGAGGAACACCAGUGGCGAAGGCGACUCUCUGGUCUGUAACUGACGCUGAGGCGCGAAAGCGUGGGGAGCAAACAGGAUUAGAUACCCUGGUAGUCCACGCCGUAAACGAUGAGUGCUAAGUGUUAGAGGGUUUCCGCCCUUUAGUGCUGCAGCUAACGCAUUAAGCACUCCGCCUGGGGAGUACGGCCGCAAGGCUGAAACUCAAAGGAAUUGACGG
RNAcentral lists this ribosomal RNA (587 nucleotides) under uncultured bacterium. RNAcentral's name for it is "bacterial SSU rRNA". It matches the Rfam family "Bacterial small subunit ribosomal RNA", at positions 338 to 916 of the family's 1533-position model. The record is from RNAcentral.